AUGCACGCUGGCGGCGUGCCUAAUCCAUGCAAGUCGCGCGCACAGACGAGGAGCUUGCUCCUCUGACGUUAGCGGCGGACGGGUGAGUAACACGUGGAUAACCUACCUAUAAGACUGGGAUAAUUUCGGGAAACCGGAGCUAAUACCGGAUAAUAUAUUGAACCGCAUGGUUCAAUAGUGAAAGACGGUUUUGCUGUCACUUAUAGAUGGAUCCGCGCCGCAUUAGCUAGUUGGUAAGGUAACGGCUUACCAAGGCAACGAUGCGUAGCCGACCUGAGAGGGUGAUCGGCCACACUGGAACUGAGACACGGUCCAGACUCCUACGGGAGGCAGCAGUAGGGAAUCUUCCGCAAUGGGCGAAAGCUUGACGGAGCAACGCCGCGUGAGUGAUGAAGGUCUUCGGAUCGUAAAACUCUGUUAUUAGGGAAGAACAAAUGUGUAAGUAACUAUGCACGUCUUGACGGUACCUAAUCAGAAAGCCACGGCUAACUACGUG
Molecule: ribosomal RNA, 496 nt
Filed under: uncultured bacterium
Lineage: Bacteria
Description: partial 16S ribosomal RNA
Rfam family: Bacterial small subunit ribosomal RNA
Source: RNAcentral